UCUGUAGGUUUGUUGGGUCACACCAUCUGUGGCAAUGGCUUUCACCAGCUGCAGGACUGGGUUUUCACUGUCUUUCAGAACAGCAUUUUGAAAUGUUGAGCUGUCACAGAAGGCACAACAUAAGCACUGAAAAAAUGCAUCAAAUGCACAGUUUCAUCCGCAUGGAGCCAUUCGGUACAUGAAGAGAGGUAGGAAGUCCUCUUCCUUUUUUUGGGUGGAACAGCUAGGCCCCUCCAGUUCUCAACUGCAUCCCCAUCAGCCGGAAGAAUGUUUGUGGCAGCAUCAGAUCCCACAAACGGAACAAAUCCACAUAUUUCCCUCGAUGAAGGAAAGAUGACGAGC
Molecule: long non-coding RNA, 342 nt
Organism: Pelmatolapia mariae (spotted tilapia)
Lineage: Eukaryota; Metazoa; Chordata; Actinopteri; Cichliformes; Cichlidae
Exons: 3
Source: RefSeq, a predicted model, not a curated record